CCUACGGGGUGCAGCAGUAGGGAAUCUUCCACAAUGGGCGAAAGCCUGAUGGAGCAACGCCGCGUGGGUGAAGAAGGUCUUCGGAUCGUAAAACCCUGUUGUUAGAGAAGAAAGUGCGUGAGAGUAACUGUUCACGUUUCGACGGUAUCUAACCAGAAAGCCACGGCUAACUACGUGCCAGCAGCCGCGGUAAUACGGAGGUGGCAAGCGUUAUCCGGAUUUAUUGGGCGGAAAGGGAACGCAGGCGGUCUUUUAAGUCUGAUGUGAAAGCUUUCGGCUUAACCGGAGUAGUGCAUUGGAAACUGGGAGACUUGAGUGCAGAAGAGGAGAGUGGAACUCCAUGUGUAGCGGUGAAAUGCGUAGAUAUAUGGAGGAACAUCAGGGGCGAAGGUGACUUACUGGACUGUAACUGACACUGAGGCACGAAAGCGUGGGGAGCAAACAGGAUUAGAUACCCGGGUAGUC
Molecule: ribosomal RNA, 465 nt
Filed under: uncultured bacterium
Lineage: Bacteria
Description: partial 16S ribosomal RNA
Rfam family: Bacterial small subunit ribosomal RNA
Source: RNAcentral